This 749-nucleotide unclassified non-coding RNA is filed under the name Hevea brasiliensis (rubber tree). The record is from RNAcentral. Lineage: Eukaryota; Viridiplantae; Streptophyta; Magnoliopsida; Malpighiales; Euphorbiaceae.
AGAAGAAGAAGACUGAAAAAUCAACGGCGACGAGUACGGGUUUUCAAUGAACUUUACCUUUGUAGUAUUAGCACUAAUACAAGUUGUUGAGGCUCCUUCAGGGUCUGUGUCAAGAAACUUCAUAAGCUCAUCCACCGUAUCAUCGUCCAUUGAAAGCCAAGCUGCGAUUUCCUCACCCAGAUCACCGGACGUGUCAGGAAGCGACGGAGUUCGAGACCCUUCUUCUCUCUUUCCGGAAUCCUCCGUCUCCAUGGUGGGUUGUGCUUGUGAUUCUCCUUUUGAUGUACUCAUUAAAGUAAUGGCAGAGCCGUAUGGUUUGUUAGGGUCUAUAAAUACUCUUUGUCUCUUCUCUGUGACGACUAAGAGCACGCGGCAGCGUGGGCGAGAAGGCUCUGAAUUUUUAUUUUUUAAUUUUUGGUAGUUAGGUGGGUCCCUAAGAAGAAGAUAUUGUGAUUCUCGUCAGACGGUUUUGGAGCCACUUGAUAUGAUCUGAACGGUUGUGAAAGUGCAUAGGUAAGUGACGUGGCUGUUGAGGAAAAAGGCGGGAAUUUAAUGGAGAGAGAAGGACAGAAGAGUAGGGGCUGCUUCUGAAUGCAGAAAGCAACCCUUGAUACACGGAUUUGGAUUUUGGUAUCUUGCGAUAUCCCAUUUACGUUUUUGCCCUCCUUUUCGUAUUCUUAUUUCUCCUGUUGCCACUGAAGUAUAAUUAUCACAUGAAAUGACUUAAUUUUAUUAAUAUUUUUAUAAAA